Long non-coding RNA from Pygocentrus nattereri (red-bellied piranha), 2533 nucleotides. RefSeq lists it as uncharacterized. The record is from RefSeq and is a predicted model, not a curated record. NCBI's taxonomy places the organism in Eukaryota, Metazoa, Chordata, Actinopteri, Characiformes, Serrasalmidae. The transcript has 3 exons.
AUAAUCAAACGUUUAGAAUAUCAGUGGUGUUUCUUUCUCUGAUGUGUCAUUCUUGGAACUAUGUCAUAACACAGUUGAAGUAUAUUGAAAAAUGAACCAACACAACACUUUUGACCAUUGCAACAAGAUUUGACCUAGUGUUUUACUUUUCUUGGCAUGCGCCCAUCCCCCUGCCCCGACAACGGCCACCAGGGCCGGGAGGAAGUUUGGGCCCGAACUCUGAGCAGGAGCGAAGUCUCGAAAGGACGACGGGGAGAGAAUGGCGAGUGAGUGGGGGACGCUGCGUGAACCACGAGCAUCGCUGAGGGAUUCGAGUGACGGCUAGAGCAGGACGUCGACCAUCACAGAGUGGAUGAUGACGAUGAUGAGAGGCGCGAAGGUGGGAUGCAUGUCCUGAACUCUGCCGCUCAUCUUGAUGUGAUGAAUGGUUUAAUAAUCAAAUGUUUGGACAAUCAGUGGUGUUUCUUUCUCUGAUGUGUCAUUCUUGGAACUAUGUUAUAACACAGUUGAAGUAUAUUGAAAAAUUAACUAACAAACCACUUUUGAGCCAUUGCAACAAGAUUUGACCUAGUUUUUUACUUUCCAUGGCAUGCGCCCAUCUCCCUGCCGCGACAACGGCCACGAGGGCCGGGAGGAAGUUGGGGCCUGAACUCUGAGCGGGAGCGAAGUCUCGCAAGGACGACGGGGAGAGAAUGGCGAGUGAGUGGGGGACGGUGCGCGAAUCACGAGCAUUGCUGAGGGAUUCGAGUGACGGCUAGAGCAGGAUGUCAGCCACCAGAGAGGGGGAUGAUGACGAUGAUGAGAGCCACGAGAGGCACGAAGGAUUUGACCUAGUUUUUUACUGUCUAUGGCAUGCGCCCGUCCCCCCGCCCCGACAACGGCCACGAGGGCCGGGACGAAGUUGGGGCCCGAACUCUGAGCAGGAGCGAAGUCUUGCAAGGACGACGGGGAGAGAAUCACGAGUGAGUGGGGGAUUGUGCACGAAUCACGAGCAUCGCUCAGUGAUUCGCGUGACGGCUGGAGGAGAAUUUCAGCCACCAAAGAGGGGAUGAUGACGAUGAUGACAGCCACGAGAGGCACGAAGCCCCGACAACGGCUACGAGGGCCGGGAGGAAGUUGGGGCCCGAACUCUGAGCGGGAGCGAAGUCUUGCAAGGACGACGGGCAGAGAAUCGUGAGUGAGUGGGGGAUGGUGCGCGAAUCACAAGCAUCGCUGAGGGAUUCGAGUGACGGCUAGAGCAGGACGUCAGCCACCAGAGUGGGGUUGAUGACGAUAAUGAGAGCCAGAGAGGCACGAAGGUAGGAUGCAUGUUCUGAAAUCUGCCGCUCAUCUUGUUGAUUGAUGAAUGGUUUAAUAAUCAAACGUUUGGAAAAUCAGUGGUGUUUCUUUCUCUGAUGUGUCAUUCUUGGAACUAUGUUAUAACACAGUUGAAGUAUAUUGAAAAAUGAACUAACAAAGCACUUUUGACUAUUGCAACAAGAUUUGACCUAGUUUUUUACUGUCUAUGGCAUGCGCCCGUACCCCCGCCCCGACGAGGGCCGGGAGGAUGUUGGGGCCCGAACUCUGAGUGGGAGCGAAGUCUCGCAAGGAUGACGGGGAGAGAAGAGUGGGGUACGGUGCGCGAAUCACGAGCAUCGCUGAGGGAUUCGAGUGGCGACUAGAGCAGGAAGUCAGCCACCAGAGCACGGAUGACGACAAUGAUGAGAGCCACGAGAGGCACGAAGGUGGGAUGCUAGUCCUGAACUCCGCCGUUCUUGCUCCGCCUCCUGGUCCACAGAGAGGCCUCUUCACUAUGCCUUCCGUUUAAUUCAGGGCGAGCUACGGAGCAGGAAUGGUGAGAAGGAGGCAGAACAAUAGGAUAUCUUUCUUUCUCAGCUCAGGAGCUCCUAAAAGACUAGAGAGGGAACAGAGAGCCGAGAAGGACGAGCAGCAGCGAGAGACUAAAUCCAGAAGAGCCGGACAGUGAUAAAAGAGUGAUAAAACACUGAUAGUCUUGUUUGAACCCACUGAAAAGUGACCAGCUUAGAUUGAUUUUGGUUUUGAGUUAUUUUGUUUGGUGUGUGAAGAUGAACUCUGAACUCUGCCUGCAGCCUCCUUCUUGAGCCCGGGGGAGAGCAAGUCGUGCUACACUGUGAUAAUCCUGUUAUAUAUUAUUGUAAUCACUUCACUGUGUAGUAACAAGUCAGGUGGAUUUACUGGAUUUACAUGACAGUGAAAAUCAGAAAACUCUUUUUUUUUCAUUUCAACAUUAUGAUGUACUUAAUACCUGGAGACCCAGUGUAACAAAAUAAGGGUGGGUAUAAAAUUAGACUAAUGGCCAAAAUGUAAUGGUUGUUGAUUUAUUUUAAGGACUACUUAAAGGUUCCUAAUUAUUAGGGGGGAUUAAUAAUGACCUAAAAAGCAGAAACAUAUUAUUUGUCAGUAAGUUUAGAAAUGUGAUAUAAAUGCUCUGAUACGAUGCAUCAAUAAGAGAUUUUCUUAACUAGUUAUUAACUACUUGUUAAAUAAGUUAAUUAUUUAAAUUAAAUGUUAG